Triticum dicoccoides is the source of this 366-nucleotide long non-coding RNA. RefSeq lists it as uncharacterized. NCBI's taxonomy places the organism in Eukaryota, Viridiplantae, Streptophyta, Magnoliopsida, Poales, Poaceae. The transcript has 2 exons. The record is from RefSeq and is a predicted model, not a curated record.
AUGAAGUGUUCUACUUCUUCUUCUUCUUCCUCUUUGGUACGCAGCUUUGCCAUCCUUGCUCUCAUAUGCUGUUCCCUGUCAUGCUCGUCGGCGGCAAGAGUUGCUCUUGACGGAAGGCAUGGGCCAACGAGUCCUCCGCCGCCGAUGCCAGGUCGCCAGGUGUCUCCCGUCGCUCCAACUCCAGUUCCAAGGUCUCCGGUCCAUCCUCCGCCGCCACCGCCGCCCAUGCCGGAGAUGUCAGCACGGGCGCCGCACCGCAAGACCCUGGAGCAAGCAUGAAACAGUGCCGCUCUUAUAUUAUUUUCGUCUAUGUAUGUUCGAUCAUGGUGCUAAGUAAUUGAGACGAUAAAUAAUGAAAUUAGCGUA